GAUGAACGCUGGCGGCGUGCCUAAUACAUGCAAGUCGAGCGAACAGACGAGGAGCUUGCUCCUCUGAUGUUAGCGGCGGACGGGUGAGUAACACGUGGAUAACCUACCUAUAAGACUGGGAUAACUUCGGGAAACCGGAGCUAAUACCGGAUAACAUGUUGAACCGCAUGGUUCAACAGUGAAAGACGGUCUUGCUGUCACUUAUGGAUGGAUCCGCGCCGCAUUAGCUAGUUGGUAAGGUAACGGCUUACCAAGGCAACGAUGCGUAGCCGACCUGAGAGGGUGAUCGGCCACACUGGAACUGAGACACGGUCCAGACUCCUACGGGAGGCAGCAGUAGGGAAUCUUCCGCAAUGGGCGAAAGCCUGACGGAGCAACGCCGCGUGAGUGAAGAAGGUCUUCGGAUCGUAAAACUCUGUUAUUAGGGAAGAACAAAUGUGUAAGUAACUAUGCACGUCUUGACGGUACCUAAUCAGAAAGCCACGGCUAACUACGUG
This 497-nucleotide ribosomal RNA is filed under the name uncultured bacterium. Its description in RNAcentral is "partial 16S ribosomal RNA". It matches the Rfam family "Bacterial small subunit ribosomal RNA", at positions 28 to 507 of the family's 1533-position model. The record is from RNAcentral.